Long non-coding RNA from Cyanistes caeruleus (blue tit), 991 nucleotides. RefSeq lists it as uncharacterized. NCBI's taxonomy places the organism in Eukaryota, Metazoa, Chordata, Aves, Passeriformes, Paridae. The record is from RefSeq and is a predicted model, not a curated record.
GUUCAUGCUGAGAGGUCUGCUCAGUUAAAGAGCACAAAAGCUUCAUCCUGUGUUACACUGAUAGCUUUGAUAUUUCUGCAAGUUUUCAGAUGUUUUUUUUGUGAGCUGAGGUGUCACAAACCCCUGUCUAUGUCACCCAGCUCCUGGCAUGGCACUAUAAAGGCAGCAGAGUGAGCCCUGCCCCACAGGAGGGUCUGCAAGGGGCACAGGCCCCAGCUGCACCCACCUAUGGAUUGGGAUCAGCUGUUGAAAACACCUCGUGGGGACUGGAGUGAGAGCAGGAAAGUGAUGGGAGAGAAAAAAUGUUGUGUUGGUACUAACAAUUGCAGGAUGUAGUUCAGAGGAGCAACGGGUUUUGUAAAAUCCUUUUCUUGCCAGAAAGGAAUGUUUAGUUCCUCCCCAACCCCAGUUUGGUCUGGGAGGCAAGACUGCUUGCUCCAAGCAUUGCCUGGAAAGAGCACUGGGCAUCCCUGAAUUCACGGGAAGGAAAGCCAAUGCAGGUGCUGCACAGUGACUGUGGUAGAAGGGUGGAUGCAUCAGCCCUGGCCACAGAGGUUCCACUGAAGAACUUCUACCUGUCCCCAGAGUGUUAUUUACAGAACUUUUGGAGAAAAUUUCAUGAUCUGAACAGCUGCUAUAACUUGUUGUAGCAGUGAAGGUCUAAGGCACUAACAGAAACUUGAGUGUUCCUCUAAUUUAUUGAAGAUAACUAUUAGCCUUUGAAUCUCAAUUUCCUGUGAGCAGAUUUUGGAUGUCUGGAGUGUCUGGGGCUGGUACUGGAACCAUUGAAGAGAAAUUAGGUUGGAACAAGUAAGAUGAUUGCCCACAUUGUAAUCAAUGUCAUUAUUAAGGAACCAGUGAAAAAAUGGUGAGUUUUGUUCUCCAGAAGAUCCCUGGCUGAGAACAGAAACUGACAACCUGCUUAUUAUGGCCUCCAAAAACCAAAACACCAGCCUAAAAGUGUUUGAAGCAAUCUCUAUGUAGUUAAAAA